GAAAAGAAAGAACAAGAACCCUAGGGUGAAAAUUCAAGAGAAAAUUGGUGGAUUUCAAGUAAUCAAGCAAUCAAAGGUAAAAUUUCUUGAUUUUGACUUGUGAUCUACCUUUCCCAUACAUUCUUUUGCAUUUUCCAUGGUUAAAUCACAUGAUUUCAUGAUGGGUAUCUUGCUGGCUAAACACUUAGAGAGAGGUUUUGAUGCUUGAUUUGGUUAGAUUUCAAGUAUUUUAGUGUUUUUAGUUUAUUGGUGAUGUGUAGCAUGAAAAUCAAUCAAGAAAAAUUCAUGUUCUUCCAUCACCCAUCAUUGGCCGAAUUCUCCAUGUAGAAUAUUGAUGAUGAUUUUGAUUUUAUUUCAAGUGAUUUGGUUAGGAAUUAGUGAUUUAUGGUGUGAGAAUCAAGCUUGAAAAAUUAUAGUGUUGAUGCACCCACCAUGGCCGAAUUUUCCAAGAGAAAAUGUGAGGAUGAUUUUGUCAUAUUUCAAGUUAUUUAAUUUGUGUUUGAUGAUUUCGAGUAUUGGGAGAAAAAUGAAAUUAUUUGGAGUUGAAUUAGACGUAUUGGCCAAUUAAUCGAGUGAUAGAUCGAAUUAAGCCAAUACCGUUUUAUUUAGGUACAUAAUUGAAUUUAUAUUGAACAUCGUAUUUAGAUAGUUACCCAAGCAUUUCACAUCCCAUUUCAUGCAUUAGUAUAGAGCCUGAAUUGGUUUUAUAACAAUUUAGCACAAAUGUAGUAAAUGGCUUAUUGUGCAUUAUGUCUAGGUGGUGAGCAUUCUAGCAAAAGUAAAGAGAUAGUACCCGAGGAUCAAGAAUCAAAGUGCUCGAAAUUUGACUCCCGAAAUAGUGAGUAACCUUACUAUCGUCUUAAUUAUCUAAAGUGGUUUUUAUCCGAUUUUGUGACUUUAUGAAAAAUGAGUUAAAUGGUAAAUCUUUGUGUUUUGUAAUUAAAAUGUGAUUUAAUGAAAUUAUUUUAUAACAUUGUCUUGAAAUGAAAUGAUAGUUUGAAAAUAGAGUAAUUAGAGACUGUUUUCAUGUGUUGUAAAUUCAUGGUUUGAAUCGAAUGGCUUAUGACAAUAUUUGCAUGAAUGGCUGAAUUGGUAUUUGUGUUGAAAUAUAUGAAUUGUGUAUUUAGCCUUGAGAGACUGGAUUGUGAUAUAAUUGUCAUGUCAUGCGGUUGAGAUUUUAUUGAAUUGGUGGGUUUAGCUUGCUGCAGUGGACCGUGGACCAGCCUAUUAGAGGGGCAUGGUAACCUCGUUAUAUUCUUACCUCGGUCGAAGAGGCAUGUAGGGUAACUCCCGAGGUACAACUUUAGAGUUCACUUCACGCCAAACCACCACGUGAGGGUGGACUCAGCCAACGCCAAGGAACGACUUGUUUUCAAAAUAAAAACAUGAUUUAUGCGUACAUGACUUUUUAACAGCCUUGGCGGACUCAGUUUGGAUAGCCCCAGACCAAGGUAUCCCUGAUAACUGAGUAUGAGAAUGAUUUUGGCACGAGCCAGAGUUUUAAGAAAUUCAUAAGCCAUGUUGAUUACUCGAUUUAUAUGAAUUGAUUUUAUUUGGUUGAAAUGAGUUGAAAGGUGAUAAAUUACAGUAUGAUGAUCUAUUUUAAUCUGUCUCCAUUUACUCAGCUUUAGAUAUUUUAGAUGGUAUUUGUUUACUCACUGAGAUUAUAUAAUCUCACCACCCUCCUUUCCACCCAUUUCAGGCUCAGGAUAGUCGGUAGAUAGCUCACUUGUUGAGGGCUACAGUUGGACUUGCAUCCUCAAAAAACUAUAAGUUUACCCCUAUUGAUACUUUUGGUCGUUCGUGGGCCCACAUGUCACUGUAAAUUAAAUUUUAUACUUUGAUUAUUUGUAUUACAGUAUGUAUGAAUUUAUUUAGCUUUUACGCUACAAAAAUAUUUACCAAGAACUCUAU
Molecule: long non-coding RNA, 1914 nt
Filed under: Theobroma cacao (cacao)
Lineage: Eukaryota; Viridiplantae; Streptophyta; Magnoliopsida; Malvales; Malvaceae
Description: long non-coding RNA (TCAC_LNC001994)
Source: RNAcentral